GUAAGAGAUAACGUAACGAAUUGGUAUGAUCGUCGAUUAUGUCAUUUUCCGCUUAAUGAUACGAGAUAUUUGAUUCGAAUUGGUCGAUGAACGUUUUAACGAGUACAAGUACGAGUUAAUCGACCGAUAAAUAACAAGAAACGGACAAAAGCAAACCUACGUAUUCACAAGCCAGUUUGGGAUACACUAUAUUAUUGUUUCCUUCUUAGAACUAAAUCGAGUUUACUAUAAUGAUUGCAUUUAUGAAGCUGACUCUAGUAAACGUCACGCAGAAAUGUACAGGUGCAGGUGCCAAGGAGCUGGUUUAAAUUUAGCGAUAUCGCGUGCGGCCGAUACAUUUUCACAGGAUUAAUUGAUUUAACCUGAGGAAAGAAUCAUCCGUGCGUUAUCAGUAAAAUAUCAAACGCACGUUUAUAAAUAUUAAUAUAUGAAUUCUCUACAAACAAUAUAUUAAUUUUUAUAGAAAAAUAUAUUCGAUGAAGAAUGCUCUUUGUGCGAAUGAAACCAAAGAUUCGCGCCGUGCUUUAUCUUUAUCCGCACUAUUGUUUCAAUACAAUUAACAAUACGGAUAACACAACGUUUUAAAUCUCGAUAAUAGUAAUCGUUUGCCAAUUAUUAAUUACAAUACAAAUUUAAUAACGAUCUCCCAAGGACGAAUUACGCAUUGAAUGACACAGUCCGCGUUACGUCACUGAUAAGAUGUCGCACAUGUUUCGUGACACGAAUGCGUAUGACGAAACAUCGUGGGAGGAAAAGCGUCAAACGAUAAGAAGAAAAAAAAGUAGCUGGAAAGGAGAUCGUAAAAAAAUAUAAAAAAAAUAUAAAGAAAAUUCUUUCUCUCCUUUCGGAAUAAAAAAUGGAAUAAAAAAAUGAAUAUCGAAGCGAAAUGAAAAAAAAAAAGAAGAUAUACAAAUAUUUAUUAUAAUACUUUUUUAAUUUUAAACAUUCGCGUGAAAAAAUAAAUUAAAGAGAAAGCAUAAACAAAGGGCGAAAAUAGAUGAUAAAGAGACCAAUUAAAAAGCAAAAGAAAAGGAGAUAAAGGAAGAAAAGCGGAGGGGAAAAGUUAACAACAGGAUGAAAGAGAAACAAAAUACCGCACGAAUAUAAAAUAAAAAGAACUGAGAAAAAACUGAGGUUAAUGAAGAGGAUAAUUGUUAGG
This is a long non-coding RNA of Apis mellifera (honey bee), 1159 nucleotides long. RefSeq lists it as uncharacterized. Lineage: Eukaryota; Metazoa; Arthropoda; Insecta; Hymenoptera; Apidae. The transcript has 4 exons. The record is from RefSeq and is a predicted model, not a curated record.